RNAcentral lists this ribosomal RNA (539 nucleotides) under Blastocystis sp. Its description in RNAcentral is "SSU rRNA". It matches the Rfam family "Eukaryotic small subunit ribosomal RNA", at positions 64 to 618 of the family's 1831-position model. The record is from RNAcentral. Lineage: Eukaryota; Bigyra; Opalinata; Blastocystidae.
UCUAAAUUGAUCCUCUUUGAAACUGCGAAUGGCUCAUUAUAUCAGUUAUAGUUUAUUAGAAAUAAUUUACUACUUGGAUAACCGUAGUAAUUCUAGGGCUAAUACAUGAGUAAAUCCUCGACUUUGAAGAGGUGUGUUUAUUAGUAUGAAAACCAUAUGCUUUUGCAUAAUAGUGAGUAAUAAUAACCUUUCAUAUCGUAUGUUGUAAUAACGAUAGUUCUUUCAAGUUUCUGCCCUAUCAGCUUUCGAUGGUAGUGCAUUGGACUACCAUGGCAGUAACGGGUAACGAAGAAUUUGGGUUCGAUUUCGGAGAGGGAGCCUGAAAGAUGGCUACCACAUCCAAGGAAGGCAGCAGGCGCGUAAAUUACCCAAUCCUGACAUAGGGAGGUAGUGACAAUAAAUCACAAUGCGGGACUUUUAGUUUUGCAAUUGGAUUGAGAACAAUGUAAAAGAGUUAUCGAUAAACAAUUGGAGGGCAAGUCUGGUGCCAGCAGCCGCGGUAAUUCCAGCUCCAAUAGCGUAUAUUAACGUUGUUGCAG